Molecule: small nuclear RNA, 111 nt
Filed under: Microcebus murinus (gray mouse lemur)
Lineage: Eukaryota; Metazoa; Chordata; Mammalia; Primates; Cheirogaleidae
Source: RNAcentral
GUGCUUGCUUUGGCAGCACAUAUACUAAAAUUGGAACGAUACAGAGAAGAUUAGCAUGGUCCCUAACACAAGGAUGACAUGAAUAAAUUUAUAAAAAAGAAAAUAACUGUU